RNAcentral lists this ribosomal RNA (904 nucleotides) under uncultured organism. Its description in RNAcentral is "bacterial SSU rRNA". It matches the Rfam family "Bacterial small subunit ribosomal RNA", at positions 577 to 1495 of the family's 1533-position model. The record is from RNAcentral.
GGUUCCGUAAGUUGGGCUUGAAAGCUCCGGGGCUUAACCCCGGGAGAUGUCGUUCAAUACUGCGGGGCUUGAGGACAGCAGAGGAAGGUGGAAUUUCCCGGUGUAGUGGUGAAAUGCGUAGAUAUCGGGAGGAACACCCGUGGCGAAGGCGGCCUUCUGGGCUGUUCCUGACGCUGAAGGCGAAAGCUAGGGGAGCGAACGGGAUUAGAUACCCCGGUAGUCCUAGCUGUAAACGAUGGAUGCUGGGUCUGGGGGGUGUAAAUUCCCUCUGUGCCGAAGCAAACGCGUUAAGCAUCCCGCCUGGGGACUACGGCCGCAAGGCUAAAACUCAAACGAAUUGACGGGGGCCCGCACAAGCAGCGGAGCGUGUGGUUUAAUUCGAUGCUACACGAAGAACCUUACCUGGGUUUGACAUGCACGUGGUAGGGAACCGAAAGGGGACCGACCUUCGGGAGCGUGCACAGGUGCUGCAUGGCUGUCGUCAGCUCGUGCCGUGAGGUGUCGGGUUAAGUCCCGUAACGAGCGCAACCCUUGCCCUUAGUUACAAGUGUCUAAGGGGACUGCCCGGGACAACUGGGAGGAAGGUGGGGAUGACGUCAAGUCAGCAUGGCCUUUAUAUCCAGGGCUACACACACGCUACAAUGGCCAGUACAAUAGGUAGCCAAGUCGUGAGACGGAGCCAAUCCUUAAAGCUGGUCUCAGUUCGAAUUGCAGUCUGCAACUCGACUGCAUGAAGCUGGAGUUGCUAGUAAUCGCAGGUCAGCCAUACUGCGGUGAUACGUUCCCGGGCCCUGUAGACACCGCCCGUCACGUCAUGUGAGCUGCAACGCCUGAGCCGGUGGCUACCCGAAAGGGGGGCAGCCGUCGAGGGUGGGGCUGGUAACUGGGACGAAGUCGUAACAAG